GGACUCGCUGUAUCCGAGCCCCGAGAUGACGAUGUGACCUUAGAAGAUGGCAGAGCCACACAAUGGAAGGCGUUUGGGUCCUUGAAUCACUGUAUCAACAGAGCCACCCACAGAAUAUGAACAUCCUCCCUGGACUGUCACAAUGAGUGAGGAAAAAACUUUACUGUGUUUGAGCCUUCAUAUAUUUGGGGCCUAUUCACUACUGCAGCUAGUGUUACCUUGAGUCAUUGGUGCCUUGAAUUACGGAACUGCCGUAACAAAAUUCUAAAAUAUGUUAGCAGCUGGGCAAGAGGGAACACGGAACUGUUGGAGCUGGAAAAUGGAUAUCUAUGUUAUGUAGUGACAAAACAUUGGGUAAAUCUGUUGCAUGUCAUUAUGGACUGAAUGUUUGUGGCCUCCCCUAAAUUCAUAUGUUGAAUCCUAACCCUCAAAGUAGUAGUGUCAGGAGGUGGGGCCUUUGGGAAGUGACUAGGUUGUGAGGGUGGAGCCCUCAUGGAUGGGGUUAAUGCCAUUAUAAAAGAGCCCCAGAGAGCUGCCUUGCCCUCUUUCUGUCAUGUGAGGACUGAGUGAGAAGGAUCCAUCUAUAAAUCAGAAACAGGGCCCUCCACAGACAUAGGUUCUGCCUGUGUCAUCUUCUUGGACUUCCUGGUAUCUAGAACUGUGAGAAAUAAA
Molecule: non-coding RNA, 672 nt
Filed under: Pongo abelii (Sumatran orangutan)
Lineage: Eukaryota; Metazoa; Chordata; Mammalia; Primates; Hominidae
Source: RNAcentral